This 254-nucleotide ribosomal RNA is filed under the name uncultured bacterium. Its description in RNAcentral is "partial 16S ribosomal RNA". It matches the Rfam family "Bacterial small subunit ribosomal RNA", at positions 524 to 776 of the family's 1533-position model. The record is from RNAcentral.
UACGGAGGGUGCGAGCGUUGUCCGGAAUUAUUGGGCGUAAAGAGCUCGUAGGCGGCUUGUUGCGUCGACUGUGAAAACCCGCGGCUCAACCGUGUGGCUUGCAGUCGAUACGGGCAGGCUAGAGUUCGGUAGGGGAGACUGGAAUUCCUGGUGUAGCGGUGAAAUGCGCAGAUAUCAGGAGGAACACCAAUUGCGAAGGCAGCUCGCUGGGACGUUACUGACGCUGAGACGCGAAAGCGUGGGGAGCAAACAGG